This 253-nucleotide ribosomal RNA is filed under the name uncultured bacterium. RNAcentral describes it as "partial 16S ribosomal RNA". It matches the Rfam family "Archaeal small subunit ribosomal RNA", at positions 474 to 727 of the family's 1478-position model. The record is from RNAcentral.
UACCCGCAGCACAAGUGGUGGUCAUUAUUAUUGGGCCUAAAGCGUCCGUAGCUGGCCUGUUAGAUGCCUGGGUAAAUCGAUGCGCUCAACGCAUCGAACUCCGGGUAGACCGGCAGGCUUGGGACCGGGAGAGGCGUGAGCUACUCGGGGGGUAGGGGUAAAAUCCUGUAAUCCUCCGGGGAGGACCAGUGGCGAAGGCGUCACGCUAGAACGGCUCAGACAGUGAGGGACGAAGCCCUGGGGCGCAAACCGG